CAGCCGCCGCGGGAAUACGUAGGGUGCAAGCGUUAAUCGGAAUUACUGGGCGUAAAGCGUGCGCAGGCGGUUUGUUAAGACAGAUGUGAAAUCCCCGGGCUCAACCUGGGAACUGCAUUUGUGACUGGCAAGCUAGAGUAUGGCAGAGGGGGGUGGAAUUCCGCGUGUAGCAGUGAAAUGCGUAGAUAUGCGGAGGAACACCGAUGGCGAAGGCAGCCCCCUGGGCCAAUACUGACGCUCAUGCACGAAAGCGUGGGGAGCAAACAGGAUUAGAUACCCGUGUAGUCCCUGUCUCUUAUAC
Molecule: ribosomal RNA, 301 nt
Filed under: uncultured bacterium
Lineage: Bacteria
Description: partial 16S ribosomal RNA
Rfam family: Bacterial small subunit ribosomal RNA
Source: RNAcentral